Molecule: non-coding RNA, 582 nt
Organism: Pelobates cultripes (western spadefoot toad)
Lineage: Eukaryota; Metazoa; Chordata; Amphibia; Anura; Pelobatidae
Source: the annotation of a GenBank genome assembly
CAUAUGUAAGCAGGGCUCAACAGCCUGCAGGUCAUUCAGCAUUUAGCAGUAAUUGUUUAGCUUAACAAGGCAUAAAACACAGUUUAUACGUUAAAGGUACCGUAGUUGCAUGAAAAGUAUCAUCAAAUGGCAGGAGCCAGUUAUGGCAGAUUAGGCAACAAUUCUGAGUGACACCCUAUCUUAUGCGCUAUAUUAUGAGUUCAACGGGUAUCAUCUCAUUAUCAUUAGCUUUGUGGAUUUUCAUUGAGAAGCAUGAAAUUAAACAGGUUAAACUAGCGGACAUAUGGCUUAGAAAAAUUCAUGUGUAUAACGAAUGGGCUGAUGAUUAGUGUGCCCAGGGGCCUCAGGUAUGUUAUCAAACUGUAAAGACAUCUUACUGUGGAAAGGCACCAGGGCACCUCUGGCUCCAUAACCACGACAGUGGGCUGUAUUAGGUAUGGUCAUUGAAGAGUGUUUCCAUUAUUUUGUUUGCCUUCAGUAUUUUCAUUUAGAAAUAGCUCUCUGCUAUAGAAAUGGUAAACAGCUCCAUCACUUGAUAGACAGGGUACAUAGCACAUAUUGCUUCUAGAUGCCUGAAGAAUG